Molecule: ribosomal RNA, 494 nt
Filed under: uncultured bacterium
Lineage: Bacteria
Description: partial 16S ribosomal RNA
Rfam family: Bacterial small subunit ribosomal RNA
Source: RNAcentral
GACGAACGCUGGCGGCGUGCUUAACACAUGCAAGUCGAACGGAAAGGCCUGCUUUCCCUUGUGGAUUGCGGGUACUCGAGUGGCGAACGGGUGAGUAACACGUGAGUGAUCUGCCCCCAACUUGGGUAUAAGCCUGGGAAACUGGGUCUAAUUCCCGAUAGGACUGCAGGGUGGUGCCUGUGGUGGGAAACGAUUUUCUAGUGGUUGGGGAUGAGCUCGCGGCCUAUCAGCUUGUUGGUGGAGUAAUGGCCUACCAAGGCGGCGACGGGUAGCCGGCCUGAGAGGGUGGACGGCCACAUUGGGACUGAGAUACGGCCCAGACUCCUACGGGAGGCAGCAGUGGGGAAUAUUACACAAUGGGCGGAAGCCUGAUGCAGCGACGCCGCGUGGGGGAUGACGGCCUUCGGGUUGUAAACUCCUUUCGACCGCGAGGAAGCCACCUGGUUGGAAGGGUGGUGACGGUAGUGGUAGAAGAAGCACCGGCUAACUACGUG